GGGCUCCUUCGGGAGCACCGGCGGACUGCUCAGUAACACGUGGACAACCUACCCUCGGGUGGGGGAUAACCUCGGGAAACUGAGGCUAAUACCCCAUAGGCCUCGGAUACUGGAAGGUUCCGAGACCGAAAGCUCCGGCGCCCGAGGAUGGGUCUGCGGCCUAUCAGGUAGUUGGUGGUGUAAAGGACCACCAAGCCUACGACGGGUACGGGCCCUGAGAGGGGGAGCCCGGAGAUGGACUCUGAGACGCGAGUCCAGGCCCUACGGGGCGCAGCAGGCGCGAAACCUUCGCAAUGCGCGAAAGCGCGACGAGGGGAGCCCGAGUGCCCUUCCUUUCGGGAGGGCUUUUCUGGAGCCUAAAAAGCUCCAGGAAUAAGGGCUGGGCAAGACGGGUGCCAGCCGCCGCGGUAAUACCCGCAGCUCGAGUGGUGACCACUAUUA
This 441-nucleotide ribosomal RNA is filed under the name uncultured archaeon. Its description in RNAcentral is "bacterial SSU rRNA". It matches the Rfam family "Archaeal small subunit ribosomal RNA", at positions 62 to 503 of the family's 1478-position model. The record is from RNAcentral.